This is a non-coding RNA of Lolium perenne, 4299 nucleotides long. The record is from RefSeq and is a predicted model, not a curated record. Lineage: Eukaryota; Viridiplantae; Streptophyta; Magnoliopsida; Poales; Poaceae.
GGUAUCUCUCCUUUGUUUCAAAAAAAAACCCGGUAUCUCUCCUUCAAAAAAUAAACGCAAAAGAAACGGAAAUCCAUAGCCUCAGCUUUGCCUCAGCUUCGUCGCCGCUUCCUCAGCUUCGUCGCCGACGGCGCGCCUCCGCCGAUUCGACCACAACUCCAACUCGCCCUCUGACUCGCUCGCACGUUCGCAUCGCGCCUCCGUCAGGCGUCUGGGCCGUGGCGGCAACUGAGGCCGGGCCGCCGCGUGCGCCCUGCCGCCGUCCGCGCCGUGGCGGUGACUGAGGCCUGGCCGCCGCGUGCGCCCUGCCGCCUUCCGCGCCGUGGCGGCGACUGCGGCCGGGCCGCCGCGCGCGCCUUCGCUCCCACAACGAAUCGACCGCACAGCCGGGCACCACUUCGUCGAGCUCCGCCCAGCUCAUCCCGUCGGCAGCUCGCCCAUGGAUGUUCCGCUCGUCGCCGCAAUCGGCCAGGUGGGGGCAUGUCGGCUUGCUCCGCCCAGCUCCGGCGACCCCAGCUAGCACGUUGCUCCGAGGCCCCUCAUUGAUCCCCGUGGAGGCGGCGAGCGUGCUGAAGCUCAGGCUGGAGGAGGACAUUGACUGCGUCAUGAACCCUCUCCUCUUCGGCUCUCCUUCGUUCCCGUCGGCGGAGCUAGAGGCUCAGACCUGGUCUUCCCCGAAUCCACAGCUGCGAGCCUCCUCGAGCGGCCCAAGUACACGCUCCCGGAUUUGAUGAUCGACGCCCUUCCCCACCUCGCACGGGACUGGUCACUGGCUAUAGUUGUUGAGGAGUUGGAGAGGACAGAAUUAUAUGGAGAGAAAUUGCAUAUAUUCAGAAAAGCCUUCCUGUUCUAUAACAUAGCAUGCUUUAUACUUCCUCCAUACAGCCAUCGGUGUUUUCUUUGCUGGAUGGAUAGGUAAGAUGAGGCUGUAGAAACUUAUAGAAACAGUACCUUUGUGUUACAUAUUUGACCACCUGUGCUAUAGUUACAGAGGUUUCAUGCUGGAUUUUGACUGGGGAAAGGCAGAAGCAGUGAUAAGAUGAAAAUAUGUCCAAGUCUUGCUAAACCAAGACAUGAGUUUCUUUGAUACCUAUGGAAACAAUGGUGAUAUUGUCUAUAUGAAGAUAACCAAGAGUCAAAAAAUUGCAAGAUAAUCAUGUUGAUCAUAUUAAUUCACUUACUCCAAGUAUGCGAACUCCCCCCUAAAUAGGGCAUGGCUAUUAUAUUUUCAGAGAUUAGUAUGCAAGGAAAUUAGUUAAUUAGCAUGUAAUAAGCUCACAUCGUACAACCACAGUACUAUAGCUGAAACUGAAGCUACCACGACCUACUGGCUGGUCUCAAAAUAGUACUAUAUUCUACCAUUAUUGAACUCUUCAUCCUUCAACACACAUGCCAAGAAAAUGAGAUAGCAACGGUAGCUAAAUGAGUUUGUAACUUCAUCCAUAUAGCAUAAAUCUGAGGUUCUUUUCUUUCCCCUUUCUUUUCUGAAAAAGAAGAGUCCAUUUUGUCAGAGAAUCAAUUAUUUGUGCCCUUUGACAAAAAUUUACCUAGGUUGCUUGAGGAUGACCAAAUUUAGUUGGGGACAAUGAUCUACCAAUUUAUCCUUCUAUCUUGCCUACCCUGGUUCUACCUUUGCUCCCCUCCUCUAAUCCGACUACUGUCCAUGGGAGCUAUUUCACGUCCCAGAUGAAAUUUAGCAUCCUAGCUUUCAGGACAAAUAUGCAGAAACAUUCUCAAAUUCCUAGAGAAGGAAUAGGUAGGAAAUGUGAAUUGAUUUAUGUUAUCAUCAUAACUGACUCCCAUUUCUAAUGAAAAAAGUACAAAAACAGAUUGCUCUUAACUCAUUGUUAUAGAUAUCUCCAUGAUGUUGUACCAACAACCUUUGAUGUGCACUGAAUCCACCUUCUGUAUUUGGAGCGAAAAAAUGAUCUUAUUGCUCGCCAAAGAAAUAGCCCAUAUCUAAUUGCAAAAGGAGACACAUCACUUGGCUAUGGUAAGCUAGACUACUCUUCUUAUGGCAUCAGGAAACCAUCUAUGUUUAAACAGCUGGUGACCAGUUGAAGGGAUCAAUAUAUGUGAUAGGAAGAUAAAUCCCGGAAGAGAUGGUAAUGUCUAUAUUCUUAUCCCAUUGUGAAACCAGGCCAUCAAGCAAAAUGCAAUCAAAAAGCAAAGGUCUGGGCAGUAGGCGUUGAACUAAGAUGAGGCACAUCUUAUCUUAUAAUAAAAAUGUCAGGUUUAUGUGAAAUAGGAACCACUGUAUAGUUAAGAGUGAAACUCAUUUAACGGAUCAUGCAAUUUUUAGAAAUCAUUCAUCGCUAGAAAUAUUCAGGCUAACAGAAAAUGCAACAUAUUAUGUUCAGCUCGUCUAGCAAAUAGAGAGCUUAAAUAUCAUAUUUAUUUGUUUGGUCUAUAAAUUGAUUCCUUGUAACAAUAGGGAAAGACAUGAUGUUUUAUUGUGCUUAGGACAUGCAUUACAUGGAAGUUCUUCCUUUUUAGUUAGAUUAGGACAUGCAGAUGAUACACUAACAAUGAAAUUACAGGUGUUUCAGCAAAUGCAUGUCAACUCUAUUUUAGUCACUCGGAAAAGCAAAAUGAACCUUUUCCAUGAAAGUAGGUAUGUUUAUGAUACACUCUUAUAUCCAACCCUGGAAGUUCAUUUGUCCUAUGCAUGAUGGUUUAACUGGUAUCUACUUUGUACACUGGAUCCUUGAUGCUCAGUUUUGAUUUGUCAUUGAAUUUUCUUGACGCUUAAACGGUGCCACUCGUUUGUUUAAUUAUUACUGCAGAUUCAAAUGCUAUUCUAACAAGUGGGAUUACGUACCUUCACUAAACCUGAUGAUCCCAACAGAGGCCGUAAACCUGAUGAGAAAUACUCCCUGAUCACACACAAGGUAUUAAAACAGGUUAGAUCUGAAAGCAUGAAACAGAACCGGGAAUUUAAAAGCAUGAUAUGUGUGAACUUCAAAUGUGUGUUCAUGAAAAGAAUGAAAUAGAUAUAGAUAUGAUAAUUAGGGGAAAGAAAAAGAUGCGCUACCAAACAUAGUAAUCUGAAUUGCAGCCUUUGAUAUGAUGGAGUCUGAAUUCAGUGUUACCUGUACCGUUGUCUUUGUGCGGAUGUGCUCCUCUACCGGAGUUGCAGCCAAAACCUGAAAUCCACACGGAGGAAGAAUAGAACAGAGCAACAAAAAUUCCAGGAGAUCUCUAGAGGAAAAAUAUUUUCAGGAGAUUUUCUGAUCACAGUUUGGUACGAGAUCUGUAGAUUUCAAGAGUUUACCUUUCAUGUAAUUUUAUUUCCUUUAUGAUGCCCUCGAAUUAUGGGCGGUGAUGGUGAUGGAAUGUAAUCUCUAUAUUUCUUGACUGUAUGGUGCAGUGACGGUGGACAACAUUUAUUUCCUUUCAUGUAAUUUUAUUUCCUUUGCCUGAAACUGGUUCUUGUUGCCUGAUUGUUGUUGCAUGAUGACCGUCCUGUAAUGGUGGGCAACAUUUAUGGCGCGCUGAUGCAUUGCUUGAUGGUGUGGUGGGAGGGCAAAAAUGUCUUAUUGAAAAUAUGGUUGACGAAACCUCCUAACGGAGGAAACAGAACAUGUUCGUCCUUUUUAUAUAGUAGAGAUAGAGAUUUCAGCAUGAAAACGGCGAGCCGCUGAGUACAGGGAUUGUGCAAGAGGUACAAAAGGAGGGGAAAAAGAACAAGCACGCUACAACGCACGCACAUCAUGGGGCAUCAGCCUGCAGCUGUAACAGCCACACAUCUAUAGAGUGUCGCGAGAAGCGACGGGGUAGACGGUGGAGCCAGAGCUCACAGUGCUCAACUAGCAUAACGAUCAGGCCACGAGUAUGCAGCCGGACGCCAUCGAAAACCAUACGAUUUCUGCUCUUCCAAAUGAUCCAGAGCAUCAGAAGUACCAGCGAGUUUCGAACGAGGGGAGCGUGAGCCUGGAGCGGGCCGGCGAUCGCUGCACAGACUUCCUCUAGGUCGUGCGCCAGAGCAGCCGCGGGGGCUCCGACAGCAGCGAACAGCGGCGACAGGCGCGUACACCUGGAGAAGAGAAAUCCUUGUUCCAGGAGCUUCAGAGGCAGCUUUCUUCCAGGUUCGAUGAAGCCUCACAGGUGCUGAAGAAUGCGCCACACAUGCUUUUGGAUGCAAUAGUUGACUCAACCUUCAAAUUUAAUGACCAAGCUCUACUCCCAUCUGAGAGCAACUUUGCACCAGUUGAUGAGAUCGGUGAAUCCAUAGAGAUACUCCAGAUUGAAGGAGAAAUACCUACAGAUUUUCCAGAGGGUGUAUACAUUAGGAACGGU